UAGAGUUUGAUCCUGGCUCAGGAUGAACGCUAGCGACAGGCUUAACACAUGCAAGUCGAGGGGCAGCGGGGAGGUAGCAAUACUUCCGCCGGCGACCGGCGCACGGGUGAGUAACACGUAUGGAACCUGCCCGUAGCAGGGGGAUAAACGGAAGAAAUUCCGUCUAAUACCGCGUAAUAACUCCGAGAGGCAUCUCAUGGAGUUUAAAGGGUAACACCGGCUACGGAUGGCCAUGCGGCGCAUUAGCUAGUUGGCGGGGUAACGGCCCACCAAGGCGACGAUGCGUAGGGGUUCUGAGAGGAAGGUCCCCCGCACUGGUACUGAGACACGGACCAGACUCCUACGGGAGGCAGCAGUGAGGAAUAUUGGUCAAUGGGCGCGAGCCUGAACCAGCCAAGUCGCGUGAGGGAAGACGGUCCUAUGGAUUGUAAACCUCUUUUGUCGGGGAGCAAAAGACGCCACGUGUGGCGUUCCGAGAGUACCCGAAGAAAAAGCAUCGGCUAACUCCGUGCCAGCAGCCGCGGUAAUACGGAGGAUGCGAGCGUUAUCCGGAUUUAUUGGGUUUAAAGGGUGCGCAGGCGGAAGAUCAAGUCAGCGGUAAAAUUGAGAGGCUCAACCUCUUCGAGCCGUUGAAACUGGUUUUCUUGAGUGAGCGAGAAGUAUGCGGAAUGCGUGGUGUAGCGGUGAAAUGCAUAGAUAUCACGCAGAACUCCGAUUGCGAAGGCAGCAUACCGGCGCUCAACUGACGCUCAUGCACGAAAGUGUGGGUAUCGAACAGGAUUAGAUACCCUGGUAGUCCACACAGUAAACGAUGAAUACUAAUUGUUCGGGGAGAAUGAUCCCUGAGUGAUACAGCGAAAGCGUUAAGUAUUCCACCUGGGGAGUACGCUGGCAACGGUGAAACUCAAAGGAAUUGACGGGGGCCCGCACAAGCGGAGGAACAUGUGGUUUAAUUCGAUGAUACGCGAGGAACCUUACCCGGGCUCAAACGACACAGGAAUACUUUUGAAAGGAGGUAGCUCUACGGAGUCUGUGUCGAGGUGCUGCAUGGUUGUCGUCAGCUCGUGCCGUGAGGUGUCGGCUUAAGUGCCAUAACGAGCGCAACCCCCAUCGCCAGUUACCAGCAAGUCAAGUUGGGGACUCUGGCGAGACUGCCGGCGCAAGCUGUGAGGAAGGCGGGGAUGACGUCAAAUCAGCACGGCCCUUACGUCCGGGGCGACACACGUGUUACAAUGGCAGGUACAGAGAGAAGCAAUGCGGCGACGCAAAGCGGAACUUGAAAGCCUGUCUCAGUUCGGAUUGGAGUCUGCAACUCGACUCCAUGAAGCUGGAUUCGCUAGUAAUCGCGCAUCAGCCAUGGCGCGGUGAAUACGUUCCCGGGCCUUGUACACACCGCCCGUCAAGCCAUGGAAGCCGGGAGUGCCUGAAGUGUGCAACCGCAAGGAGCGCCCUAAGGUAAAACUGGUGACUGGGGCUAAGUCGUAACAAGGUAACCGUA
Molecule: ribosomal RNA, 1498 nt
Filed under: uncultured bacterium
Lineage: Bacteria
Description: 16S ribosomal RNA
Rfam family: Bacterial small subunit ribosomal RNA
Source: RNAcentral